RNAcentral lists this ribosomal RNA (494 nucleotides) under uncultured Lachnospiraceae bacterium. RNAcentral's name for it is "bacterial SSU rRNA". It matches the Rfam family "Bacterial small subunit ribosomal RNA", at positions 29 to 507 of the family's 1533-position model. The record is from RNAcentral. Lineage: Bacteria; Bacillati; Bacillota; Clostridia; Lachnospirales; Lachnospiraceae.
AUGAACGCUGGCGGCGUGCUUAAUACAUGCAAGUCGAACGAAGCACCUCUCCCGUUGAUUGACCUAGCUUGCUAGAGAUUGAAACAAUUGAGGUGACUGAGUGGCGGACGGGUGAGUAACGCGUGGGUAACCUGCCUUGUACAGGGGGAUAACAGUUGGAAACGACUGCUAAUACCGCAUAAGCGCACAGUAUCGCAUGAUACAGUGUGAAAAACUCCGGUGGUACAAGAUGGACCCGCGUCUGAUUAGCUAGUUGGAGGGGUAACGGCCCACCAAGGCAACGAUCAGUAGCCGACUUGAGAGAGUGAUCGGCCACAUUGGGACUGAGACACGGCCCAAACUCCUACGGGAGGCAGCAGUAGGGAAUAUUGCACAAUGGGGGAAACCCUGAUGCAGCGACGCCGCGUGAAGGAUGAAGUAUUUCGGCAUGUAAACUUCUAUCAGCAAGGAAGAAAAUGACGGUACUUGACUAAGAAGCCCCGGCUAAAUACGUG